AUAUGAUAAAGUGGAGGCGUCUUGCAGUGUACUCCUGCAUGUAUUUCAUAGGUUGAAUGGUAAAAAAGCGCCUCACCAAGUUUACCCACUGAAAAAAUAUGUGACUUCGACUUCCCGAGAUAUCACGGGACCAAAUGGUAUAAAAAUGAAGCGAUUUGUUGCUGGUGAGAGCAUCAAGAAUACAGAGCAUUGAGGAAACGGCUAGCUAUAACAGAAAAGCAAAGGUAUCUAAGACCAAGGCAUAAAGAAUGAUGAAGUUUAUAGUCGCCUUAUUCCUUCUCGUUCAAGUCAUUUUUACUGUGAUCGAUCAAGGAGAAGCUAAACGCGUUUGAAAUCAAAAGUCGAAAGCCAUUUCUACCAAGUUGCCCUUCAACACGUUCAAAAUAUCUGAAAAUCGCUAAAAUAAGUCUGCUUGAAGGACAAAGAAGAAAGACAUCGGCAUCCGACUUUCCUGUUAAGUGUGUACAUCUGGCUUUGAUUAUGGCAAAUGGAAUUUCGACUUUCCACAUGGAUACUUAUGAAUGCUGCAAGAAAUGCAAUGAUAAGUUUUUGAAGUGUCUCAAAACGCAUGCAAACAACCCCCACAAACUUUCCAUUUGCCGAAAUGAAGCAUUUUCUUGUAUCUGCAGAUGUCACCAACGAAGUGCAAAAAAAUGCACAUCAAAUAAAUGCACGCGAGGCGGAUGUUGUCUGCAACAACAAUGUAUCACUUUGUAAACCAAAUCUCCAGUGAAACGACUUGGUUGAAACAUUUUUACAGCACUAACGAGUUUAGCUACAUGCAUGCAAUGUUAAUUACAAUGAUUGUCAGAUAUUCAACGUAAAAGAUAAUAAAAAUAAAAUUUGAAUUUCA
This is a long non-coding RNA of Xenia sp. Carnegie-2017, 853 nucleotides long. RefSeq lists it as uncharacterized. The transcript has 2 exons. Lineage: Eukaryota; Metazoa; Cnidaria; Anthozoa; Malacalcyonacea; Xeniidae. The record is from RefSeq and is a predicted model, not a curated record.